This 1017-nucleotide ribosomal RNA is filed under the name uncultured bacterium. RNAcentral describes it as "bacterial SSU rRNA". It matches the Rfam family "Bacterial small subunit ribosomal RNA", at positions 357 to 1376 of the family's 1533-position model. The record is from RNAcentral.
AGGAAUAUUGGUCAAUGGACGCAAGUCUGAACCAGCCAUGCCGCGUGCAGGAUGAAUGUGCUAUGCAUUGUAAACUGCUUUUGUACGAGGGUAAAAACAGGUACGUGUACCUGGUUGAAAGUAUCGUACGAAUAAGGGUCGGCUAACUCCGUGCCAGCAGCCGCGGUAAUACGGAGGACCCGAGCGUUAUCCGGAUUUAUUGGGUUUAAAGGGUGCGUAGGCGGAUUGGUAAGUUAGAGGUGAAAGCUCAGCGCUUAACGUUGAAACUGCCUCUGAUACUGUCGGUCUAGAGUAUAGUUGCGGAAGGCGGAAUGUGUGGUGUAGCGGUGAAAUGCUUAGAUAUCACACAGAACACCGAUUGCGAAGGCAGCUUUCCAAGCUAUCACUGACGCUGAGGCACGAAAGCGUGGGGAGCGAACAGGAUUAGAUACCCUGGUAGUCCACGCCGUAAACGAUGAUAACUCGUUGCAGGCGAUACACAGUCUGUGACUUAGCGAAAGCGUUAAGUUAUCCACCUGGGGAGUACGUUCGCAAGAAUGAAACUCAAAGGAAUUGACGGGGGCCCGCACAAGCGGAGGAACAUGUGGUUUAAUUCGAUGAUACGCGAGGAACCUUACCCGGGCUUGAAAGUUAGCGACGGAUCCUGAAAGGGGUCUUCUCUUCGGAGCACGAAACUAGGUGCUGCAUGGUUGUCGUCAGCUCGUGCCGUGAGGUGUCGGGUUAAGUCCCAUAACGAGCGCAACCCCUACUGUUAGUUACCAGCACGUCAUGGUGGGCACUCUAGCAGGACUGCCGGUGUAAGCCGAGAGGAAGGUGGGGAUGACGUCAAAUCAGCACGGCCCUUACGUCCGGGGCGACACACGUGUUACAAUGGUCGGUACAGAGGGUCGCUACCCUGUGAAGGGAUGCCAAUCUCGAAAGCCGAUCUCAGUUCGGAUUGGAGGCUGAAACUCGCCUCCAUGAAGUUGGAUUCGCUAGUAAUCGCGCAUCAGCCAUGGCGCGGUGAAUACGUUCCCG